Long non-coding RNA from Puntigrus tetrazona (Sumatra barb), 795 nucleotides. RefSeq lists it as uncharacterized. The record is from RefSeq and is a predicted model, not a curated record. The transcript has 5 exons. Lineage: Eukaryota; Metazoa; Chordata; Actinopteri; Cypriniformes; Cyprinidae.
CAUUUGUAAAAAAAAAAAAAAAAAAAGAAUCUAAAUAUUUCUCAUUCGAAUAAUAGUGUUCUUUUAAACUUUAUAUUUAUUUUAUUUGCUUGUUGGUUUUACACAUCCAAACUAAUCAAACACGUGUGUUUUCGUAUAAAAAAACCCUAAAAACCAUCCAAGUAUUGCUGUCUUAAUUCCACCUGAGUAAAAACAAAGUCACUCGGAACUGAAUGUACUGUCUUGACAAUUGCAUGUAAUUCUUUCUUGUAACUACACUAACACACCGAAUGCACGCCAUGGAUCGCGUCUAUGUGCUGUUUUCCAGAAAAAGCCGGCUCUUCUGAUCUGCAGCUGUUCUCUGUGGUGCUAAGGAUCCAGCAGAUUCAUAUUGUGUCACAUUCUGGCGCAGACGUCUAUUUCGGUCUCCUCUGAAUCACAAUGAGCUUGAAAUCUGUGACCGAGGCGUUCGAGCAGCUCUCAGUCGGGUUAAAUUAAAGCUGCACCUCCGUAUCUGAUGAAGAUCCCAACAGAAGGUUUCCGCCGCCUGCGCACGAGACGGCGACAUCCAGGAAAGUCUGAAGUGCGCUAAGAAGCAAGGCGCUGGCGUUUAAUGACACUGGUACGAGCUCAUUAUUGUGGUAAUUGGCGUCCUCAGGUGCUCCUGGCUCCGGGUCCAGGUGUGAACGGCGUCUCUGGUUUGGCAGAUUCCCCCUCGGUCGCCCCGUUUGGAUCAGAACCCCCGAAAAGGAAGACGCAGUCUAGAUACGUCACGGUGUGAACGCUUUAACUGGACCCCGAGAUCCUGCCGUCUUC